This 481-nucleotide ribosomal RNA is filed under the name uncultured Methanosaeta sp. RNAcentral describes it as "bacterial SSU rRNA". It matches the Rfam family "Archaeal small subunit ribosomal RNA", at positions 858 to 1338 of the family's 1478-position model. The record is from RNAcentral. Lineage: Archaea; Methanobacteriati; Methanobacteriota; Methanomicrobia; Methanotrichales; Methanotrichaceae.
AAAUGAAUUGACGGGGAGCACCACAACGGGUGGAGCUUGUCGGUUUUAAUUGGAUUCAACGCCGGAAAUCUUACCGGGACCGACAGCAAUAUGAAGGCCAGGCUGAAGACUUUGCCGGAUUAGCUGAGAGGUGGUGCAUGGCCGUCGUCAGUUCGUACUGUGAAGCAUCCUGUUAAGUCAGGCAACGAGCGAGACCCACGCCCACAGUUGCCAGCGUACUCUCUGGAGUGACGGGUACACUGUGGGACCGCCGCUGCUAAAGCGGAGGAAGGAAUGGGCAACGGUAGGUCAGUAUGCCCCGAAUAUCCCGGGCUACACGCGAGCUACAAUGGUUGGUACAAUGGGUAUCUACCCCGAAAGGGGACGGGAAUCUCCUAAAACCAAUCUUAGUUCGGAUUGAGGGCUGCAACUCGCCCUCAUGAAGCUGGAAUCCGUAGUAAUCGCGUUUCAACAGAACGCGGUGAAUACGUCCCUGCUCCUU